GAAGUACUCCCUCCGUCCCAAAAUUCUUGUCUUAGAUUUGUCUAGAUACGGAUGUAUCAAGUCACAUUUUAGUAUUAGAUACAUCCGUAUCUAGACAAAUCUAAGACAAGAAAUUUGGGACAGAGGGAGUAGUUG
This is a non-coding RNA of Triticum aestivum (bread wheat), 135 nucleotides long. The record is from Rfam. NCBI's taxonomy places the organism in Eukaryota, Viridiplantae, Streptophyta, Magnoliopsida, Poales, Poaceae.